This 575-nucleotide ribosomal RNA is filed under the name uncultured rumen bacterium. RNAcentral's name for it is "bacterial SSU rRNA". It matches the Rfam family "Bacterial small subunit ribosomal RNA", at positions 347 to 916 of the family's 1533-position model. The record is from RNAcentral.
GGCAGCAGCUAAGAAUAUUCCGCAAUGCACGAAAGUGUGACGGAGCGACGCCGCGUGGACGAUGAGGGCCGGAAGGUUGUAAAGUCCUUUUUAAUAUGAGGAAUAAGGAAGGUGAGAGAAACGCCUUCUGGUGACUGUAGUAUUAGAAUAAGGGGCGGCUAAUUACGUGCCAGCAGCCGCGGUAACACGUAAGCCCCGAGCGUUGUUCGGAAUUAUUGGGCGUAAAGGGCAUGUAGGCGGUUUUGCAAGUCUGGUGUGAAAGGCAGGAGCUCAACUCCUGGACUGCGCUGGAAACUGCAUGACUUGAGUUUCUGAGGGGCACUCGGAAUUCCUGGUGUAGGGGUGAAAUCUGUAGAUAUCAGGAAGAACACCGGUGGCGAAGGCGGGGUGCCAGCAGAAGACUGACGCUGAGGUGCGAAGGUGCGGGGAGCAAACAGGAUUAGAUACCCUGGUAGUCCGCACAGUCAACGAUGCACACUGGGUGUCCGCGCAUAAGCGUGGGUGCCGAAGCAAACGCGAUAAGUGUGCCGCCUGGGGAGUAUGCCCGCAAGGGUGAAACUCAAAGGAAUUGACGG